AUGUGCCGAGGUGGUCGCGCGCUGGCUGGUGGCAGGGCCCAGAGGAGAGGUGUGGAGAGGUGUUGCGAGGCCUCUGCUGCGCUUGGAGGAGCAGCCACUAGUCAGAUCGACCCUCCAAUAACCAACAUAUGCCUCGGCGCGUUCCUCGGCGUGCUCUUUGGGUCCGUGGAGAUCGGCCUCGGAGUCACGCUUGCCAUAUCCUUUGCAAAGAUCAUCAUCCAGUCACUCCGGCCUCAGGUGAAGGGUCUGGGCAGGCUACAAGGAACAAACAUAUUCUGCAGCGUCAGGCAGUACCCCGUAGCAUGCCGGACACCGGCCGUGCAAGUCAUACGCAUCGAUACGUCCUUCCUCUACUUCAUCAAUGCGACUUUCAUCAAAGAGAGGAUCAUGGAGUGGCUAAGGGCAGAAGUGGACACAUCCAAUGAGAAGGUCGGGGAAAGGGUGCACUCAGUUUUCCUUGACAUGUCAAAUGUGGUGAACAUUGACACUUCAGAACUGGUGGGAUUGGAAAAAAUUCACAAGGAGAUGGCGUCCCUCGGCAUACAAGUGAAAUGGCUAUUGCUAGUCUAG
This 570-nucleotide ribosomal RNA is filed under the name Triticum aestivum (bread wheat). RNAcentral describes it as "partial small subunit ribosomal RNA". The record is from RNAcentral. Lineage: Eukaryota; Viridiplantae; Streptophyta; Magnoliopsida; Poales; Poaceae.